Molecule: unclassified non-coding RNA, 451 nt
Filed under: Hevea brasiliensis (rubber tree)
Lineage: Eukaryota; Viridiplantae; Streptophyta; Magnoliopsida; Malpighiales; Euphorbiaceae
Source: RNAcentral
GGGGUGUCUUGGUUUAUCUUCGUGGACAUGAAGGACGGGGCAUAGGUUUGGGCCACAAACUUCGUGCUUAUAACUUGCAAGAUGCGGGGCGGGAUACUGUCGAAGCCAAUGAGGAUCUGGGAUUGCCCGUGGAUUCUCGCGAAUAUGGCAUUGGUGCACAGAUUCUAAGGGAUCUUGGGGUGAGAACAAUGAAACUAAUGACAAACAACCCAACAAAGUACAAAGGCCUAAAGGGGUAUGGCUUAGAAGUUUCAGGUAGAGUUCCCCUGAUAACCCCAAUUACAAAGGACAACAAGAGAUACUUAGAGACAAAGCGCGCCAAAAUGGGGCAUGUCUACAACUUGGAUUUCGGAGGUAGAUUUAGAAAUCGGAUUGAUGAACAUGAAACAUCGAACGGUAGUGUUGCAUCAAGUGAUGCGAUGGCUUGAGCUAGCAAUGUCAAACAUUAAAA